GAUGAACGCUGGCGGCGUGCCUAAUACACGCAAGUAGAACGCUGAAGGAGGAGCUUGCUCUUCUGGAUGAGUUGCGAACGGGUGAGUAACGCGUAGGUAACCUGCCUGGUAGCGGGGGAUAACUAUUGGAAACGAUAGCUAAUACCGCAUGACAACAGUUAUUGCAUGAUAACUGUUUAAAAGGGGCAACUGCUCCACUACCAGAUGGACCUGCGUUGUAUUAGCUAGUUGGUGAGGUAACGGCUCACCAAGGCGACGAUACAUAGCCGACCUGAGAGGGUGAUCGGCCACACUGGGACUGAGACACGGCCCAGACUCCUACGGGAGGCAGCAGUAGGGAAUCUUCGGCAAUGGACGGAAGUCUGACCGAGCAACGCCGCGUGAGUGAAGAAGGUUUUCGGAUCGUAAAGCUCUGUUGUAAGAGAAGAACGAGUGUGAGAGUGGAAAGUUCACACUGUGACGGUAUCUUACCAGAAAGGGACGGCUAACUACGUG
Molecule: ribosomal RNA, 495 nt
Filed under: uncultured bacterium
Lineage: Bacteria
Description: partial 16S ribosomal RNA
Rfam family: Bacterial small subunit ribosomal RNA
Source: RNAcentral